Molecule: non-coding RNA, 215 nt
Filed under: Acidobacteriota bacterium
Lineage: Bacteria; Pseudomonadati; Acidobacteriota
Source: RNAcentral
UGCUAUUCUCGCCCCGACGACCCGAUGUUGUCGAAGGGAAGCUGGGUGAAAAGCCCACACGGUCCCGCCACUGUGAUGCGGAGAGCCGGUUUCGUCCGAGCGACGGGCCACACGGUCCGUCAAGACGCCACUGCAGCCCCCCAGGGCUGUGGGAAGGCGAGAAACCGCUCGUAGUCCCGCCGAGUCAGGAAACCUUCCAUCGGGCAAGUCCUCUG